UACUUCCUUGGCGAGAUAGCUUCGAGUAAUUUGUAAAUCAGUGCUGCAUACAUACAUACAUACAUACAUACAUAUAUAUAUAUAUAUAUGUAUAUGUGUAUAUAUAUAUCUGUUGUUCACAUCAAGAACACUUGUUCCAUCUCUGAAGUUCCAGAAGAUUGGAUGCCAUAUCAUAAUUCUAUCAUUUGAUGUUUGAUUUCCUUGCCGCCUAUCUCACAUGUGAACAGUAGAAUGACAAAGUGAUGAGCAAAAGAAGAUAGAGAUUGAUUGCGCGGUAUAGUUUUUAUGUAGAACAGGAUCAAAGGAAACGAGAGGGUCCCAUAAGGAGCAGCCAAAACGGCCCACAAAGGCGAAGCGUGGAUCGCUGAAAUGCAACAGCGUGUUCCCUCCAGAGAUCCUUCUUUCUUUUCUAUUUUCUUAUCUUUUAGAAAAUCUUCUCUCUCUGUGGUUUUUGUCGGCAGAUAUUAUUUUUUAGAAAAUUAAUAACUAGUCAUUUCCUGUUUUAAAUAGACCGAAAUAUGCAAUUGGAUGGGGCUUAUCAUCACAUAGUUGCCCAACGGAGAUGAGAUUCUUUGUGACUUUAGUAACAUAUAUAUAUUUUCACCCCCAAAAAUAGUUACUGGAUAAAUUAACAUCUUUUUGUCAAAAAAACUUAACAUCUGAAGCUCAGCAUCCCCUUCACCACCAAAGUUUUCCUAGUUUUAGCAUAGCUGGACUUUUUUUAGAUUGCUAUUACAUUAAUGGUUCAGGGGCACUGUGUUUUUUGUUUCUAGAGAAGAUCUGCCUUUUCUUCUUUUCCAUCAGCUUUGUGACACUGAAGGCUUCAUGUUGCAGAGAUUGGUAGAGAUGGAGGUAAAAAAUAUUCCUCUUGAUGAUGGGAAGAAGGCGUUCGAUGUUGUCGACAAAAAUGAUGUCGUUAUAUUACCCGCAUUUGGGGCGGCUGUGGAGGAGAUGAAGAUUCUGAGUGAAAAAAAUGUCCAGAUAGUUGAUACAACCUGCCCGUGGGUAUCCAAGGUGAUCAGCUAUUUCCUUGGAUCAUAUACAAGAACAAUUUUUUUUUCCUUUCAUUGCAUUUAUUAAUUGAUUUUCUAUCACCCGCUCGGAUUCUCUAAAAGGUCUGGAACACGGUUGAAAAGCACAAAAAAGGGGAUUUUACCUCAAUAAUUCACGGAAAGCAUUCCCAUGAGGAGACCAUUGCAACGGCAUCAUUUGCUGGGAAGUAUAUUAUCGUGAAGAACAUGUCAGAGGUUGAAUUAUGAAUCUGUUUUUUUUUUAAUGGUCUAGCUACUGUGUAAUAUGUUCUUCUUGUGCUAGUAUUUAUUUUUCGUCAUGGAUUUGUGACUGAAGGCGAUGUACGUAUGCGACUAUAUUCUUGGAGGUAAACUCAACGGAUCGAGCUCAACGAGGGAAGAUUUUUUCCUGGUAAAGUACUCUCUUAUGCUCUGUUUUCCUGCUCACAUUCAGACGUAAAUGUAGAUUCAUUAAGGAUCAUCUCUGUGCCCACCUACAGAAAUUCAAGGAUGCCGUCUCCGCUGGCUUUGACCCAGACAUCGAUUUAGUCAAACUUGGGAUUGCGAACCAAACUACGAUGCUCAAAGGAGAAACAGAGGAGAUUGGUGCGCCCCAUCAAUUUAUUAUCAAUCUUAAGAUCAAUUCGUCUACUUCAAUCGAAUUUGAAGAUUUAAUUCCUUUUCUGCUCUAGGGAAAUUGGUUGAGAGGACCAUGAUGCAAAAGUAUGGUGUCGAGAAUGUCAACAGCCAUUUUAUCAGCUUCAACACGAUCUGCGAUGCUACCCAGGUAAACUUAGGCCCCAUCCUUAUCACUGAUAUUCCGUAAAUGUGAAGAAAAAGGUCAACAUAUUUUACCUUGAGGGCCAAUAUCUUGGAUCUUGAGUCAACUGUCUGUGGUUGGUCUUAGAAUGUUAAUCUCUGGUUGCCGCAGAUCGGGAACGUGGGUUAUGUUUUGACAUUUAUUUAUGCUUUUCAGAAAACAGAUGCUCAAUAUACCGUUGGUUCCUCCUUUUCAUGGUCCCGAAUGUGAACGCCGCCAUUUUUAUGCAGGAGAGACAAGAUGCAAUGUAUAAGCUUGUCGAGGAGAAGGUGGACCUCAUGCUGGUGGUUGGGGGAUGGAAUUCCAGCAACACCUCGCACCUUCAAGAGAUUGCCGAAGUCAACGGGAUCCCAUCCUACUGGAUCGACACCGAGAAGAGAAUCGGUCCC
RNAcentral lists this long non-coding RNA (2219 nucleotides) under Spirodela polyrhiza (greater duckweed). Its description in RNAcentral is "long non-coding RNA (SPOL_LNC001938)". The record is from RNAcentral. Lineage: Eukaryota; Viridiplantae; Streptophyta; Magnoliopsida; Alismatales; Araceae.